CCUACGGGGGGCAGCAGUGGGGAAUAUUGCACAAUGGGGGAAACCCUGAUGCAGCGACGCCGCGUGAAGGACGAAGUAUUUCGGUACGUAAACUUCUAUCAGCAGGGAAGAAAAUGACGGUACCUGACCAAGAAGCCCCGGCUAACUACGUGCCAGCAGCCGCGGUAAUACGUAGGGGGCAAGCGUUAUCCGGAUUUACUGGGUGUAAAGGGGGCGCAGACGGCAAUGCAAGCCAGGAGUGAAAGCCCGGGGCCCAACUCCGGGACUGCUUUUGAAACUGUGUUGCUAGAUUGCAGGAGAGGUAA
RNAcentral lists this ribosomal RNA (305 nucleotides) under uncultured bacterium. RNAcentral describes it as "bacterial SSU rRNA". It matches the Rfam family "Bacterial small subunit ribosomal RNA", at positions 338 to 660 of the family's 1533-position model. The record is from RNAcentral.